This 481-nucleotide ribosomal RNA is filed under the name uncultured bacterium. Its description in RNAcentral is "partial 16S ribosomal RNA". It matches the Rfam family "Bacterial small subunit ribosomal RNA", at positions 28 to 507 of the family's 1533-position model. The record is from RNAcentral.
GAUGAACGCUGGCGGCGUGCUUAACACAUGCAAGUCGAACGAAACACCUUAUUUGAUUUUCUUCGGAACUGAAGAUUUGGUGAUUGAGUGGCGGACGGGUGAGUAACGCGUGGGUAACCUGCCCUGUACAGGGGGAUAACAGUCAGAAAUGACUGCUAAUACCGCAUAAGACCACAGCACCGCAUGGUGCAGGGGUAAAAACUCCGGUGGUACAGGAUGGACCCGCGGCGUAUUAGCUGGUUGUUGAGGUAACGGCUCACCAAGGCGACGAUCAGUAGCCGGCUUGAGAGAGUGAGCGGCCACAUUGGGACUGAGACACGGCCCAAACGCCUACGGGAGGCAGCAGUGGGGAAUAUUGCACAAUGGGGGAAACCCUGAUGCAGCGACGCCGCGUGAGUGAAGAAGUAUUUCGGUAUGUAAAGCUCUAUCAGCAGGGAAGAAAAUGACGGUACCUGACUAAGAAGCCCCGGCUAACUACGUG